UUUGCCUUUAUAAAUAUGCUCCAUUUUUUCCUCAUUCAUACCAUGUUCUUCAUUGCCUUCCCAUUCACAACCAAAUACAAGUUUUUGUGAUGACUAUGAUGAAGAGGACCCUUCUUCUCUUUGCCGUCUUCUUGCUGCUCGUGUUUACAGAUGCGACCAUGCACAGCGUGAUUAAGAAGAAAGAUGCGCGUAAGCUAGCUCAAAGAUUUAGUGGUCAAAUCCCUGAAACGGGAGUGUUUGGUGGUGUGAAUGAUUCUGAAGAUGCUGACGUUGGCAUGAACAACAACGAAGAUGAGGACGAUGAAAAUCUUGGUUAUAAAAACUACGGAAAGGGUUCGGAUACCGAAACUCACCGUUACUUCUCAAGCGAGAAGCCAUACAGACCCUAAAAAAAUAUAUCCCGAUCACCAUCAUCGUCGUCAUCUCAGCUUGUGAAUUGUAAAGGAAAAAAAAUAAUGUUUUUCUCUUGUAAUAAAGUGGAAUGUCUGAGACGGGUAAGCUUCGGCGUUUCACACAGUGAUGUUUGGUUGUUUGUUGUGUGUUGUGAAAAAAUAUAAUGUAUUAAAAAUCUUAUGUUAUGUUAAAUGAUUUGGGUGGUAUGAUUAAUAUAUAAAGUUGGUGAUCAUAUAUUAUA
This is a long non-coding RNA of Cucurbita moschata (crookneck pumpkin), 634 nucleotides long. RefSeq lists it as uncharacterized. NCBI's taxonomy places the organism in Eukaryota, Viridiplantae, Streptophyta, Magnoliopsida, Cucurbitales, Cucurbitaceae. The transcript has 2 exons. The record is from RefSeq and is a predicted model, not a curated record.